This 493-nucleotide ribosomal RNA is filed under the name uncultured bacterium. RNAcentral's name for it is "partial 16S ribosomal RNA". It matches the Rfam family "Bacterial small subunit ribosomal RNA", at positions 28 to 506 of the family's 1533-position model. The record is from RNAcentral.
GACGAACGCUGGCGGCGUGCUUAACACAUGCAAGUCGAACGGAAAGGCCUGCUUUCCCUUGUGGAUUGCGGGUACUCGAGUGGCGAACGGGUGAGUAACACGUGAGUGAUCUGCCCCCAACUUGGGUAUAAGCCUGGGAAACUGGGUCUAAUUCCCGAUAGGACUGCAGGGUGGUGCCUGUGGUGGAAAACGAUUUUCUAGUGGUUGGGGAUGAGCUCGCGGCCUAUCAGCUUGUUGGUGGGGUAAUGGCCUACCAAGGCGGCGACGGGUAGCCGGCCUGAGAGGGUGGACGGCCACAUUGGGACUGAGAUAUGGCCCAGACUCCUACGGGAGGCAGCAGUGGGGAAUAUUGCACAAUGGGCGGAAGCUUGAUGCAGCGACGCCGCGUGGGGGAUGACGGCCUUCGGGUUGUAAACUCCUUUCGACCGCGAGGAAGCCACCUGGUUGGAAGGGUGGUGACGGUAGUGGUAGAAGAAGCACCGGCUAACUACGU